UAUUUAUGAAAUAAAUUGAUUGCAUGAGGUCUAUUAAUUGACAGUCUAUAUCAUUUGCAUGUUGAUGCGAAUGUGAAUUUAAAUGAAUAAAAGAGACCCAGAGAUGAAAUUAAUUAGAAGUGAGUGCCGUAGGUCAAAAGAGACCCAGAGAUGAAAUUAACUAGAAGUGAGUGCCGUAGGUCAAAAGAGACCCAGAGAUAAAAUUAACCAGAAGUACUUGUGGCAUCAUAGACUAGGCC
RNAcentral lists this long non-coding RNA (239 nucleotides) under Elaeis guineensis (African oil palm). RNAcentral's name for it is "long non-coding RNA (EGUI_LNC054425)". Lineage: Eukaryota; Viridiplantae; Streptophyta; Magnoliopsida; Arecales; Arecaceae. The record is from RNAcentral.